RNAcentral lists this ribosomal RNA (253 nucleotides) under uncultured bacterium. RNAcentral describes it as "partial 16S ribosomal RNA". It matches the Rfam family "Bacterial small subunit ribosomal RNA", at positions 524 to 776 of the family's 1533-position model. The record is from RNAcentral.
UACGAAGGGGGCUAGCGUUGUUCGGAGUUACUGGGCGUAAAGCGUGCGUAGGCGGUUUUGUAAGUUUGGUGUGAAAUCUCCCGGCUCAACUGGGAGGGUGCGCCGAAAACUGCAAGGCUGGAGUAUGGGAGAGGUAGGCGGAAUUCCUGGUGUAGCGGUGAAAUGCGUAGAUAUCAGGAGGAACACCUGUGGUGUAGACGGCUUACUGGACCAUGACUGACGCUGAGGCACGAAAGCGUGGGGAGCAAACAGG